UCCUACGGGAGCCUGCAGUAGGGAAUAUUGGGCAAUGGAGGCAACUCUGACCCAGCCAUGCCGCGUGCAGGACGAAGGCGUUAUGCGUUGUAAACUGCUUUUAUAUAGGAAGAAAUAGANUUUGCGAGGACAGUUGACGGUACUAUAUGCAUAAGCACCGGCUGACUCCGUGCCAGCAGCCGCGGUGAUACGGAGGGUGCAAGCGUUGUCCGGAUUUAUUGGGUUUAAAGGGUGCGUAGGCGGUUUAUUAAGUCAGUGGUGAAAGACGGUCGCUCAACGAUUGCAGUGCCAUUGAUACUGGUAGACUUGAGUGAGAUUGAGGUAGCUGGAAUGGAUAGUGUAGCGGUGAAAUGCAUAGAUAUUAUCCAGAACACCAAUUGCGUAGGCAAGUUACUAAGUCUCAACUGACGCUGAGGCACGAAAGUGUGGGUAUCAAACAGGAUUAGAUACCCUGGUAGUCCACACUGUAAACGAUGAUGACUAAACUGUUGGCUUUCGGGUCAGUGGUACAGNAGAAAUCGUUAAGUUAUCCACC
This 535-nucleotide ribosomal RNA is filed under the name uncultured bacterium. Its description in RNAcentral is "bacterial SSU rRNA". It matches the Rfam family "Bacterial small subunit ribosomal RNA", at positions 337 to 873 of the family's 1533-position model. The record is from RNAcentral.